UAGGGAAUCUUCCACAAUGGACGCAAGUCUGAUGGAGCAACGCCGCGUGAGUGAAGAAGGCUUUCGGGUCGUAAAACUCUGUUGUUGGAGAAGAAUGGUCGGCAGAGUAACUGUUGUCGGCGUGACGGUAUCCAACCAGAAAGCCACGGCUAACUACGUGCCAGCAGCCGCGGUAAUACGUAGGUGGCAAGCGUUAUCCGGAUUUAUUGGGCGUAAAGCGAGCGCAGGCGGUUUUUUAAGUCUGAUGUGAAAGCCCUCGGCUUAACCGAGGAAGUGCAUCGGAAACUGGAAAACUUGAGUGCAGAAGAGGACAGUGGAACUCCAUGUGUAGCGGUGAAAUGCGUAGAUAUAUGGAAGAACACCAGUGGCGAAGGCGGCUGUCUGGUCUGUAACUGACGCUGAGGCUCGAAAGCAUGGGUAGCGAACAGGAUUAGAUACCCUGGUAGUCCAUGCCGUAAACGAUGAAUGCUAGGU
RNAcentral lists this ribosomal RNA (474 nucleotides) under uncultured bacterium. RNAcentral describes it as "partial 16S ribosomal RNA". It matches the Rfam family "Bacterial small subunit ribosomal RNA", at positions 355 to 821 of the family's 1533-position model. The record is from RNAcentral.